RNAcentral lists this unclassified non-coding RNA (272 nucleotides) under plant metagenome. Its description in RNAcentral is "partial contains small subunit ribosomal RNA, internal transcribed spacer 1, and 5.8S ribosomal RNA". The record is from RNAcentral.
UUUCCGUAGGUGAACCUGCGGAAGGAUCAUUAACGAGUUAGGGUCUUCUAGGCCCGACCUCCCAACCCUAUGUUUAUUGAACCUCAGUUGCUUCGGCGGACCCGCCUCACGGCCGCCGGAGGACCGCUGCAAGGCGUCCUCUGGCCAGCGUCCGCCGAUGGCCAACCACUUAAACUCUGAAUGAAUCGUGUCAUAUGUCUAAGUCUAUGAUUAAAUUAAAGCAAAACUUUCAACAACGGAUCUCUUGGUUCUGGCAUCGAUGAAAACGCAGC